CAGAAGCCAAUCGAGUCCAACAAGGAGAUGAAUGCAGCACUAAGGCAAUCAUUAUCAACAUCCACAUGGAUAUUAAAAUCUCCAACAAUAAUAACUUUAUCGGUUUUAAGAACCAAACUUGAUAUAAAUUCUGAGAAUUCAGAUAUAAACUCUGAAUAUGGACCUGGUGGCCGGUACAGAAUCACAAAUAGAAUUGGCUGUAGUGUUUUCCAGGUUGGAUGUGAAAGACUAAGAACAACGUGGGAUGAAUGCCGUCUCUCCUCAUCAGAUCAGGCUUUCCCCAGAAAGUCUUCCAGUUGUCUACGUAGCCCACAUUAUUCGCUGGGCACCUCGACAGCCAGCGGUUGAAAGACGACAUUCGGCUAAACAAUUCGUCUGUCUGCAAAUUUGGGAGAGGGCCAGAGAAAAUUACGGUGUCCGACAACGUCUUGGCAUAAGCACACACGGAUUCCACAUUAAUUUUAGUGACUUCCGACCGACGGGCUCGGGCGUCAUUACCACCGGCGUGUAUUACAAUCUGACUGUGGCUGUGUCUACUACCGCACACUUGAGCACUUGAGCACUUGGAGCUGACUUUCAGUGUUCGAAGUGCGCCACUGAAAAAUCCAGCAGAAUUCAGUGCACUGAAAGUACCCGGAUGGUGCACUGCAAACGGGCAAAACAUGUAAAACGAUGGACACUACUCGCCCUAAGCGGCCGCCAUCUUGGCUACGUACCGGAAGAGGAGGAGCCAUUUCGCCAGCUUUUCAUUUUAUUUCUAAAACAAUGGCGGACAGCACAAGCGGUAGACCACGAAGCUACAGACCGUAAAUAGACGUUUCCUGGAGGUGCUGGUGCUGGUCCUCUGCUGCCCUCCCGACAUCUGGCUCCAAUGACCUCUGGCACCUCACAUCCACCUCCAGGGCCUUGAAGAAGAUGGACCGCCAUCGCGUCUUCAGUAUCUCGAAGGACCUCUCCACAACACACCUCGCCUUUGACAGGCAGCAGUUGUAGCUUGGAGGUGGACAGGCUGCCUGAAGGGGGUCAUGAGGCAGAUGGGUUGGGACAGGCAGGGGGAGCCACCAUCCCCAAGGAUACAGUAUCCUGGUGGAGGGGAUGACUGCUCAUAGAAGAUGGGGCUGUUAUUCAGGACCCUGGCAUCAGGCACUGAGCCCGGGGCCUGUCGAAGGCCCUGGCCACCACCGCCAAAAAAUACAAACUAGACAGGAGAUCUCGGGGCCCCAACCGUGGUCCCAGUCAGUGCCCAGCACAGCCAUGAGGGCGUUGAAUGACUCUGGUGAGCCUGAAGUCCACCCUCAUGUCACUGUGGCCAUCACAACACAACGCCAGCAGUGGCAUUGCAGCAUUGAUACGGCAGCGCCGCCUGGGACUGGGUGGCUGCUGUAGAGUGUGGGGAGGGGAGGGGAAGAUUAUAUUAAUAUGUAAGUCAUUUUAUCAAUAAAAUGUUGUCAUUCUA
Molecule: long non-coding RNA, 1456 nt
Organism: Pseudoliparis swirei
Lineage: Eukaryota; Metazoa; Chordata; Actinopteri; Perciformes; Liparidae
Exons: 2
Source: RefSeq, a predicted model, not a curated record